RNAcentral lists this long non-coding RNA (371 nucleotides) under Capra hircus (goat). RNAcentral describes it as "lncRNA (ENSCHIG00000007162.1)". Lineage: Eukaryota; Metazoa; Chordata; Mammalia; Artiodactyla; Bovidae. The record is from RNAcentral.
AACUAUAAUAACUUUUAGUAGCCAGUCUUCAACAAGAGAAGAUGGAUCCUGAGAAAUGGCAAGUGACAGGGGAAAUUCCAGCUGUUGUGCUGUUUUCUCUUUUGCAUUUCCAGGAAGUUGUGUCCUCGUGAUCCAUCUUGGCAAGGCAGAUUCUGUCUUGUUCACCCAGCUGGUUUGGGAGAUUACUGAAGGGGAAGCUUGGGAGAAGAUCUGGCCAUUGUUAGUUACUUAUGCUUCAUUUCUGCUUCUUUGAUCUAAAGAAUUUAAUCUACAGGUUAGGCAAGGUAUUAUAUGAUCAAAAGAUUUGAAAGGUGUGCUUGGGCUGGAGAUGAGUUGAGCAUGGGGGGUUGCUGGUUUAAAAGCAAGGUACA